Molecule: ribosomal RNA, 1199 nt
Filed under: uncultured Flavobacteriaceae bacterium
Lineage: Bacteria; Pseudomonadati; Bacteroidota; Flavobacteriia; Flavobacteriales; Flavobacteriaceae
Description: bacterial SSU rRNA
Rfam family: Bacterial small subunit ribosomal RNA
Source: RNAcentral
UCAGGAUGAACGCUAGCGGCAGGCCUAACACACGCAAGUCGAGGGGUAACAGAGAGAAGCUUGCUUUUCUGCUGACGACCGGCGCACGGGUGCGUAACGCGUAUACAAUCUGCCUUAUACAGAGGGAUAGCCUUUAGAAAUGAAGAUUAAUACCUUAUAGUCUAUUUUUAUAGCAUUAUAUAAAUAGUAAAGCUUCGGUGGUAUAAGAUGAGUAUGCGUCCUAUUAGUUAGUUGGUAAGGUAACGGCUUACCAAGACAACGAUAGGUAGGGGCCCUGAGAGGGGGAUCCCCCACACUGGUACUGAGACACGGACCAGACUCCUACGGGAGGCAGCAGUGAGGAAUAUUGGACAAUGGAGGCAACUCUGAUCCAGCCAUGCCGCGUGCAGGAAGACGGCCCUAUGGGUUGUAAACUGCUUUUAUAUAGGAAGAAACCUUUUCACGUGUGAGAAGCUGACGGUACUAUAAGAAUAAGGACCGGCUAACUCCGUGCCAGCAGCCGCGGUAAUACGGAGGGUCCGAGCGUUAUCCGGAAUCAUUGGGUUUAAAGGGUCCGUAGGCGGGAAUCUAAGUCAGUGGUGAAAUCUUGCAGCUCAACUGUAAAAUUGCCAUUGAUACUGGAUUUCUUGAAUUAGUGUGAAGUGGUUAGAAUGUGUAGUGUAGCGGUGAAAUGCAUAGAUAUUACACAGAAUACCAAUUGCGAAGGCAGAUCACUAACACUAUAUUGACGCUGAGGGACGAAAGCGUGGGGAGCGAACAGGAUUAGAUACCCUGGUAGUCCACGCCGUAAACAAUGGAUACUAGCUGUUCGAUCUUCGGAUUGAGUGGCUAAGCGAAAGUGAUAAGUAUCCCACCUGGGGAGUACGUUCGCAAGAAUGAAACUCAAAGGAAUUGACGGGGGCCCGCACAAGCGGUGGAGCAUGUGGUUUAAUUCGAUGAUACGCGAGGAACCUUACCAGGGCUUAAAUGUAGUCUGACAGCUUUAGAGAUAGAGUUUUCUUCGGACAGAUUACAAGGUGCUGCAUGGUUGUCGUCAGCUCGUGCCGUGAGGUGUCAGGUUAAGUCCUAUAACGAGCGCAACCCCUGUUGUUAGUUGCCAGCGAGUAAUGUCGGGAACUCUAACAAGACUGCCGGUGCAAACCGUGAGGAAGGUGGGGAUGUCGUCAAAUCAUCACGGCCCUUACGUCCUGGGCCACACA